GACGAACGCUGGCGGCGUGCUUAACACAUGCAAGUCGAACGGAAAGGCCCUGCUUUUGUGGGGUGCUCGAGUGGCGAACGGGUGAGUAACACGUGAGUAACCUGCCCUUGACUUUGGGAUAACUUCAGGAAACUGGGGCUAAUACCGGAUAGGAGCUCCUGCUGCAUGGUGGGGGUUGGAAAGUUUCGGCGGUUGGGGAUGGACUCGCAGCUUAUCAGCUUGUUGGUGGGGUAGUGGCUUACCAAGGCUUUGACGGGUAGCCGGCCUGAGAGGGUGACCGGCCACAUUGGGACUGAGAUACGGCCCAGACUCCUACGGGAGGCAGCAGUGGGGAAUAUUGCACAAUGGGCGGAAGCCUGAUGCAGCAACGCCGCGUGCGGGAUGACGGCCUUCGGGUUGUAAACCGCUUUCGCCUGUGACGAAGCGUGAGUGACGGUAGUGGGUAAAGAAGCACCGGCUAACUACGUG
Molecule: ribosomal RNA, 468 nt
Filed under: uncultured bacterium
Lineage: Bacteria
Description: partial 16S ribosomal RNA
Rfam family: Bacterial small subunit ribosomal RNA
Source: RNAcentral